RNAcentral lists this ribosomal RNA (497 nucleotides) under uncultured bacterium. RNAcentral describes it as "partial 16S ribosomal RNA". It matches the Rfam family "Bacterial small subunit ribosomal RNA", at positions 28 to 507 of the family's 1533-position model. The record is from RNAcentral.
GAUGAACGCUGGCGGCGUGCCUAAUACAUGCAAGUCGAGCGAACAGAUAAGGAGCUUGCUCCUUUGACGUUAGCGGCGGACGGGUGAGUAACACGUGGGUAACCUACCUAUAAGACUGGAAUAACUCCGGGAAACCGGGGCUAAUGCCGGAUAACAUUUAGAACCGCAUGGUUCUAAAGUGAAAGAUGGUUUUGCUAUCACUUAUAGAUGGACCCGCGCCGUAUUAGCUAGUUGGUAAGGUAACGGCUUACCAAGGCAACGAUACGUAGCCGACCUGAGAGGGUGAUCGGCCACACUGGAACUGAGACACGGUCCAGACUCCUACGGGAGGCAGCAGUAGGGAAUCUUCCGCAAUGGGCGAAAGCCUGACGUAGCAACGCCGCGUGAGUGAUGAAGGUCUUCGGAUCGUAAAACUCUGUUAUUAGGGAAGAACAAAUGUGUAAGUAACUGUGCACGUCUUGACGGUACCUAAUCAGAAAGCCACGGCUAACUACGUG